This 468-nucleotide ribosomal RNA is filed under the name uncultured bacterium. Its description in RNAcentral is "partial 16S ribosomal RNA". It matches the Rfam family "Bacterial small subunit ribosomal RNA", at positions 28 to 507 of the family's 1533-position model. The record is from RNAcentral.
GACGAACGCUGGCGGCGUGCUUAACACAUGCAAGUCGAACGGAAAGGCCCUGCUUUUGUGGGGUGCUCGAGUGGCGAACGGGUGAGUAACACGUGAGUAACCUGCCCUUGACUUUGGGAUAACUUCAGGAAACUGGGGCUACUACCGGAUAGGAGCUCCUGCUGCAUGGUGGGGGUUGGAACGUUUCGGCGGUUGGGGAUGGACUCGCGGCUUAUCAGCUUGUUGGUGGGGUAGUGGCUUACCAAGGCUUUGACGGGUAGCCGGCCUGAGAGGGUGACCGGCCACAUUGGGACUGAGAUACGCCCCAGACUCCUACGGGAGGCAGCAGGGGGGAAUAUGGCACAAUGGGCGGAAGCCUGAUGCAGCAACGCCGCGUGCGGGAUGACGGCCUUCGGGUUGUAAACCGCUUUCGCCUGUGACGAAGCGUGAGUGACGGUAAUGGGUAAAGAAGCACCGGCUAACUACGUG